This 468-nucleotide ribosomal RNA is filed under the name uncultured bacterium. Its description in RNAcentral is "partial 16S ribosomal RNA". It matches the Rfam family "Bacterial small subunit ribosomal RNA", at positions 28 to 507 of the family's 1533-position model. The record is from RNAcentral.
GACGAACGCUGGCGGCGUGCUUAACACAUGCAAGUCGAACGGAAAGGCCCUGCUUUUGUGGGGUGCUCGAGUGGCGAACGGGUGAGUAACACGUGAGUAACCUGCCCUUGACUUUGGGAUAACUUCAGGAAACUGGGGCUAAUACCGGAUAGGAGCUCCUGCUGCAUGGUGGGGGUUGGAAAGUUUCGGCGGUUGGGGAUGGACUCGCGGCUUAUCAGCUUGUUGGUGGGGUAGUGGCUUACCAAGGCUUUGACGGGUAGCCGGCCUGAGAGGGGGACCGGCCACAUUGGGACUGAGGUACGGCCCAGACUCCUACGGGAGGCAGCAGUGGGGAAUAUUGCACAAUGGGCGGAAGCCUGAUGCAGCAACGCCGCGUGCGGGAUGACGGCCUUCGGGUUGUAAACCGCUUUCGCCGGUAACGAAGCGUGAGUGACGGUAAUGGGUAAAGAAGCACCGGCUAACUACGUG